GAUGAAGAACGCAGCAAAAUGCGAUAAGUAAUGUGAAUUGCAGAAUUCAGUGAAUCAUCGAAUCUUUGAACGCACAUUGCGCCCGCUGGUAUUCCGGCGGGCAUGCCUGUUCGAGCGUCAUUUCAACCCUCAAGCCCCCGGGUUUGGUGUUGGGGAUCGGCUCUGCCCUUCUGGGCGGUGCCGCCCCCGAAAUACAUUGGCGGUCUCGCUGCAGCCUCCAUUGCGUAGUAGCUAACACCUCGCAACUGNNNCGCGGCGCGGCCAUGCCGUAAAACCCCAACUUCUGAAUGUUGACCUCGGAUCAGGUAGGAAUACCCGCUGAACUUAAGCAUAUCAAUAAGCGGAGGA
This 348-nucleotide unclassified non-coding RNA is filed under the name soil metagenome. Its description in RNAcentral is "partial contains 5.8S ribosomal RNA, internal transcribed spacer 2, and large subunit ribosomal RNA". The stretch from base 1 to 120 matches the Rfam family "5.8S ribosomal RNA", at positions 35 to 154 of the family's 154-position model. The record is from RNAcentral.